Molecule: unclassified non-coding RNA, 792 nt
Filed under: Leishmania donovani
Lineage: Eukaryota; Euglenozoa; Kinetoplastea; Trypanosomatida; Trypanosomatidae
Description: gene:LdHU3.28.3110(CDS-product:Dynein_light_chain _LC6_flagellar_outer_arm_putative)
Source: RNAcentral
CGUACCGACCUUGUUGGCGCUCGUAGUACCUCGCCCUUCUUGAGCAGGCGCACCCUCUCCCUCGCCGGCAGCUCGCUUCUUCCACAAUCUGCCUACUGUAACACCUGUUGAUCUCGCACGCUCAAUACUACUUCCGAAACCGUGUCACAACACUCGUUGAGAGCUCUGGCAAGCAGGAGCAAACAGAAGUGCCUUUUCUUCGACCUCUUUGAAAGAAAAAUGACGCAAGUACCUGGCGCGACGGUGAAGCUAUCCGAGAUGCCUAAGGAGAUGGAGAACUUUGCCAUUUUCUGUGCACAGGAGGGGCUCGCGAAACUGCGAACUGCGCAGGAGCUGGCCAGCUUUAUUCGAAAGGAGUUCGAAAAAAAGUAUGGCCCGACGUGGAACUGCUUUGUUGGCCGGAACUUUGGUAGCUUUGUCACGCACGAAGAGGGCAACUACGUGUACUUCUACGUUGGUCAAACCGGUGUUCUGCUUUUCAAGUCGUCUUAGUGAUUUUUGGCGAAUGGCAUAGUGCACACACACACACACUCACACACACACACACACACACACACGUGCAGAGUGUGUUGCCAAUGUCCGCGAUGCCCGCGAAGUGAAGCUGCUCCGUGUGACACGUCGGUGACCGCGAACUACGUGCGAGCCUUUUUACAGCUCGUUCAUAGCCGUACGUGGUACUGCUUUGCCAAAUUUUCCAUCCCUUGCAUAAAAGGGCAUGAAUGAUGUAAAUGAGUGUGUCCUGGUGUCUGUGUCUUUCCGCGUGGAUUACACGUGCCCCACGCGCGGGUAGUC